AGCUCCAAUAGCGUAUAUUAAAGUUGUUGCAGUUAAAAAGCUCGUAGUUGGAUUUCUGGGAGGGUGCCGAUGUCCACAGAUUGUGCGCGCAGAGGCGCCCUUCCAUCCUUCUGUUAGCGCCGCCUUGCAUUCAUUUGCUAGCGGCGUGCUCAGAUAGUUUACCUUGAGAAAAUUAGAGUGUUUCAGGCAGGCUAAGCCGGAAUACAUUAGCAUGGAAUAAUGGAAUAGGACUAUAGUCUCUUUGUUGGUUUGAGGGACAAUAGUAAUGAUUAAUAGGGAUAGUUGGGGGCAUUAGUAUUUGACUGUCAGAGGUGGAAUUCUCGGAUUUGUUAAAGACUAACUUAUGCGAAAGCAUUUGCCAAGGAUGUUUUCA
This 373-nucleotide ribosomal RNA is filed under the name uncultured eukaryote. Its description in RNAcentral is "SSU rRNA". It matches the Rfam family "Eukaryotic small subunit ribosomal RNA", at positions 587 to 972 of the family's 1831-position model. The record is from RNAcentral.